AGAACGAACGCUGGCGGCAUGCCUAACACAUGCAAGUCGAACGCCCCGCAAGGGGAGUGGCGGACGGGUGAGUAACACGUGGGAACCUGCCCAAUGGUCUGGAAUAACCGCGGGAAACUGCGGCUAAUACCGGAUAAGCCCGAAAGGGGAAAGAUUUAUCGCCGAAAGAUCGGCCCGCGUCUGAUUAGCUAGUUGGUGAGGUAAUGGCUCACCAAGGCGACGAUCAGUAGCUGGUCUGAGAGGAUGAUCAGCCACAUUGGGACUGAGACACGGCCCAAACUCCUACGGGAGGCAGCAGUGGGGAAUAUUGGACAAUGGGCGCAAGCCUGAUCCAGCCAUGCCGCGUGAGUGAUGAAGGCCCUAGGGUUGUAAAGCUCUUUUGUGCGGGAAGAUAAUGACGGUACCGCAAGAAUAAGCCCGGCUAACUUCGCGCCAGCAGCCGC
RNAcentral lists this ribosomal RNA (443 nucleotides) under uncultured bacterium. RNAcentral's name for it is "SSU rRNA". It matches the Rfam family "Bacterial small subunit ribosomal RNA", at positions 26 to 518 of the family's 1533-position model. The record is from RNAcentral.